Molecule: ribosomal RNA, 253 nt
Filed under: uncultured bacterium
Lineage: Bacteria
Description: partial 16S ribosomal RNA
Rfam family: Bacterial small subunit ribosomal RNA
Source: RNAcentral
UACGGUGGGGGCAAGCGUUGUUCGGAAUUACUGGGCGUAAAGGGCGCGUAGGCGGCAGGCCAAGUCGGGAGUGAAAGCCCGGGGCUCAACCCCGGAAUGUCUUUCGAAACUGGCCAGCUGGAGUGCGGAAGAGGCAACUGGAAUUCCCAGUGUAGCGGUGAAAUGCGUAGAUAUUGGGAAGAACACCUGAGGCGAAGGCGGGUUGCUGGGCCGACACUGACGCUGAGGCGCGAAAGCCAGGGGAGCAAACGGG